ACUCCUACGGGAGGCAGCAGUCGAGAGGCAUCCGCAAUGGGCGAAAGCCCGACGGUGCGACGCCGCGUGGACGAUGAAGGCCUUAGGGUUGUAAAGUCCUGUCACAGGGGGGAGAACAACACCCAUCUUAAUAGGCUGGGUGUCUGACGUUGCCCCUGGAGAAAGACCCGGCUAACUCCGUGCCAGCAGCCGCGGUAAUACGGGGGGGGUCGAGCGUUAUUCGGAUUCACUGGGCGUAAAGGGCGCGUAGGCGGGGUCGUGGGUCGGCCGUGAAAUCCACCGGCUCAACCGGUGAACUGCGGUCGAAACUACGACUCUUGAGCUCGGUAGAGGAAGGCGGAAUUCCUGGUGUAGCGGUGGAAUGCGUAGAUAUCAGGAGGAACACCGGUAGCGAAGGCGGCCUUCUGGGCCGUAGCUGACGCUGAGGCGCGAAAGCCGGGGGAGCGAACAGGAUUAGAUACCCUGGUAGUCCCGGCCGUAAACGAUGGGUACUAGGUGUAGGGGGUACUGACCCCCUCUGUGCCGCAGUUAACGCAUUAAGUACCCCGCCUGGGGAGUACGCACGCAAGUGUGAAACUCAAAGGAAUUGACGGGGCCCCGCACAAGCGGUGGAGCAUGUGGAUCAAUUCGACGCAACGCGAAGAACCUUACCGGGGUUUGACAUGGGCCGGACCGGCAUGGAAACAUGCCUUCCCUUCGGGGCCGGUUCACAGGUGCUGCAUGGCUGUCGUCAGCUCGUGUCGUGAGAUGUUGGGUUAAGUCCCGCAACGAGCGCAACCCUCGUCGCCNGUUGCCAUCAGGUUAAGCUGGGCACUCUGGCGAGACUGCCGGCGAUAUGCCGGANNAAGGCGGGGAUGACGUCAAGUCCUCANGGNCCUUACAUCCCGGGCUUCACACGUGCUA
Molecule: ribosomal RNA, 903 nt
Filed under: uncultured bacterium
Lineage: Bacteria
Description: bacterial SSU rRNA
Rfam family: Bacterial small subunit ribosomal RNA
Source: RNAcentral